UAACCUUCUCCGCUAGGAGAAACUGAACGGUCAGGAGUCAGCAGAGGCCAUAGUACCGGAGUAGAGGACGCUUGAAACGGGAAGGGC
Non-coding RNA from Brevibacillus panacihumi W25, 87 nucleotides. NCBI's taxonomy places the organism in Bacteria, Bacillati, Bacillota, Bacilli, Caryophanales, Paenibacillaceae. The record is from Rfam.